RNAcentral lists this ribosomal RNA (316 nucleotides) under uncultured bacterium. Its description in RNAcentral is "bacterial SSU rRNA". It matches the Rfam family "Bacterial small subunit ribosomal RNA", at positions 28 to 334 of the family's 1533-position model. The record is from RNAcentral.
GAUGAACGCUAGCUACAGGCUUAAUACAUGCAAGUAGAACGCUGAAGUCUGGUGCUUGCACUAGACGGAUGAGUUGCGAACGGGUGAGUAACGCGUAGGUAACCUGCCUCAUAGCGGGGGAUAACUAUUGGAAACGAUAGCUAAUACCGCAUAACAGUAUUUACCGCAUGGUAGAUGCUUGAAAGGAGCAAUUGCUUCACUAUGAGAUGGACCUGCGUUGUAUUAGCUAGUUGGUGAGGUAGCGGCUCACCAAGGCAUCGAUACAUAGCCGACCUGAGAGGGUGAUCGGCCACACUGGGACUGAGACACGGCCCAG